GCCCUGGUAGUAUAGUUCGGUCCAGUAUGGGGCGCUGUCACCGCUUCGACCCGGGUUCGAAUCCCGGCCAGGGCG
This 75-nucleotide transfer RNA is filed under the name Nitrososphaerota archaeon. RNAcentral describes it as "Thaumarchaeota archaeon tRNA-Asp". It matches the Rfam family "tRNA". Rfam says of the family: Transfer RNA (tRNA) molecules are approximately 80 nucleotides in length. Their secondary structure includes four short double-helical elements and three loops (D, anti-codon, and T loops). Further hydrogen bonds mediate the characteristic L-shaped molecular structure. tRNAs have two regions of fundamental functional importance: the anti-codon, which is responsible for specific mRNA codon recognition, and the 3' end, to which the tRNAs corresponding amino acid is attached (by aminoacyl-tRNA synthetases). tRNAs cope with the degeneracy of the genetic code in two manners: having more than one tRNA (with a specific anti-codon) for a particular amino acid; and 'wobble' base-pairing, i.e. permitting non-standard base-pairing at the 3rd anti-codon position. The record is from RNAcentral. Lineage: Archaea; Thermoproteati; Nitrososphaerota. RNAcentral also lists the same sequence under 1 other name.